CCGCCAGGCCAGAGGCAGGAGCCGCGGAGCGAGCGGAGAGCGGAGGUGGCGGCGGGGCCGGGCGCUGCAGGUCCCCUCGCCGCCCGCUGAGCUCUCCAACCCUGGGCCCGGCGAGGCGGGCGGCGCCCAGUGUAAUGCGGAGAAUGUGAGAGGCAGCGCAGGGCGGUGGGGAGGAGGGGGCGCGAGAGAGGGCGGCGGCAGGAUAGACGGAGAGACAGCGGGAGAGAGAAAGGACAGGGAACAGGGAGCAGGUGGAAGAAAAGAGAAGAGAUAAAAGGAGAGGCAGGGACAGGAAAGGGGGGGCAGAAAGGAGUGAGAGAACACGCGGCACGGGCGGCGGCGCAGGCGAGGAGGGGGACGGCUUCUUCGGGUGGGAGCGCCGGAAGCCAGAGUUGGGCGCCCCGGCCGGGGUUCGGGAGGCGAGUGCGGCCGGGCCGGACAUGGUGGGGGAGCGGGGAAGCCGGAGGGUCCCCCUCUGGAAGCGGCAGGGGACCUGAGGCGGGCGGGGAAAGGGACGCAGGGCCAGUCCAUAGGCCCCGCGGGCCGCGCUCCGGGGGCUCCGGCGGGCCGGGGCAAGGGGGCCUUUGUGAGCGCCCCAGGAGUGCGGAGCCGGGUGUGCGGCGGCGGGGAUGUGUGCGCGCCCGGGGCUGCGCGUGUGUGUGCGAGUGUGAGCGCCCGGGUGGGUGGGAGCGCGCGUUAGGGAUUCUGCUGGCAUCUCAGCGUGGAGAGCAGGAGGCAGGAGUGGGGCGCGCAGGGGAGCGCGAGGCCCUCCCGCGCACACGCACACGCCGCGCGCGCACACACAUACACACACGCACACGCCCUCCCUGCCUCGCUCGCUGCCGCUGCCACCAUCUCGGAGCCGAGCCCUGCGGAGCGGGAACCCGAGCGGGAGCGGGAACCGGAGUGGAGCAGAGCCAAGCCGGGGAAUGCGGAUCCGGAGCGGAGCGGCGCGCAAAGUGCGCGCCCGGGACGCCUCCUGUGCCCACAGGCCGUGAGGCUCCGCUGCCUACAGGCAAAGAGGGCUACUGAGUCAAUCCCAGGCUGACCCCAGCCCACUUGCAUUUCCCAAACGCCCGCCUGACCUGAGGUGGUCCUGCCCUUCCUCUCCGGCCUCCCGCACCCCCCAGGACUCAGGCUUGCCCGCCUCUCCACCUCGGAUCACUCUGGGAGUCUCU
This is a long non-coding RNA of Lontra canadensis (Northern American river otter), 1178 nucleotides long. RefSeq lists it as uncharacterized. The transcript is spliced from 3 exons. The record is from RefSeq and is a predicted model, not a curated record. NCBI's taxonomy places the organism in Eukaryota, Metazoa, Chordata, Mammalia, Carnivora, Mustelidae.